UUGGAGGGCAAGUCUGGUGCCAGCAGCCGCGGUAAUUCCAGCUCCAAUAGCGUAUAUUAAAGUUGUUGCAGUUAAAAAGCUCGUAGUUGAAUUUCAGGGUUUGUCUAUCGGUUGGGCUUCACUGUCCGCACUGAUUUGAUGGAUCCUUACCUUCUGAAUAGCCAUCAUGCCAUUAAUUUGGUGCGUUGGGGAAGCAGAGCUAUUACCUUGAAAAAAUUAGAGUGCUUAAAGCAGGCCAGUGCUUGAAUAGAUUAGCAUGGAAUAAUAAAAUAGGACGGCAUGGUUCUAUUUUGUUGGUUUCUAGGAUCACCGUAAUGAUUAAUAGGGAUAGUUGGGGGCAUUAGUAUUCAAUUGUCGGAGGUGAAAUUCUUGGAUUUAUUGAAGACUAACUACUGCGAAAGCAUUUGCCAAGGAUGUUCUCAUUAAUCAAGAACGAAAGUUAGGGGAUCGAAGACGAUCAGAUACCGUCGUAGUCUUAACCACAAACUAUGCCGACUAGGGAUCGGACGAAGCUAAUUCUUAAAUGACUCGUUCGGCGCCUUACGGGAAAC
This 551-nucleotide ribosomal RNA is filed under the name uncultured Acaulospora. RNAcentral's name for it is "SSU rRNA". It matches the Rfam family "Eukaryotic small subunit ribosomal RNA", at positions 548 to 1098 of the family's 1831-position model. Lineage: Eukaryota; Fungi; Glomeromycota; Glomeromycetes; Diversisporales; Acaulosporaceae. The record is from RNAcentral.